This 301-nucleotide ribosomal RNA is filed under the name uncultured bacterium. Its description in RNAcentral is "partial 16S ribosomal RNA". It matches the Rfam family "Bacterial small subunit ribosomal RNA", at positions 509 to 807 of the family's 1533-position model. The record is from RNAcentral.
CAGUCGCCGCGGUAAUACGGAGGGAGCUAGCGUUGUUCGGAAUUACUGGGCGUAAAGCGCACGUAGGCGGUUAUUCAAGUCAGAGGUGAAAGCCCGGGGCUCAACCCCGGAACUGCCUUUGAAACUAGAUGACUGGAAUCUUGGAGAGGUCAGUGGAAUUCCGAGUGUAGAGGUGAAAUUCGUAGAUAUUCGGAAGAACACCAGUGGCGAAGGCGACUGACUGGACAAGUAUUGACGCUGAGGUGCGAAAGCGUGGGGAGCAAACAGGAUUAGAUACCCGGGUAGUCCCUGUCUCUUAUAC